UCUGCUUUGGAAGAGCACAGGUGCACAACCUCCACGUAGCUUCAGCUGACGAUAAUCAAUCAAAAUGCCAAGGAAAUAGGCAGUUCUGUAAAGUCGAGGUAAAUAAUAUUGGAAUCAUUGUUGUUGUGGUUGCCUAGUCUGAGGACCACCAUACCCACCAUAAUUUCCAGCACCGGAAGGCACAUUGACCUGUGUGGCUCCAUACGAUCCACCCUGUGAAGGAUCUUUCCAAGAGCUAGAAUAACCACCAGUGGCAUUACUAUCACUGUAACCACCACCCAUGUAACCAGAACCGACCCCUUGCUCCCCACCACCACCUACACCAGAAAUACCACCACUACGUCCACCAACAGCACCAUACCCACUAUGGUUAGCAUAUGGUCCAACCCCUUGUUCUCCACCAUAGCCACCACCAUAUCCAUAACUUUGACUUCCAUAGCCUGGUCCAUCAGAUGAUUGACCAGUUGGUGCAGCAGAGCCAUUAGAACCAGCAGUUCCAUAUCCAGUGUUUGAGCCAUAACCAGAAGAAUUAUAAACUGAUGAAGUUUGAUUAUUCCAAGGGCUUCUGGGUGCACCUUGUGGACCACUUCCAUAACCACCAGAAUUUGGGUUGCCAUAAGUGCCGGCAGGUCCAUAGCCAGACGUAGCAUUUCCAUAACCAGGCAUGCCAUAAGCACCAUAUCCGGUGCCAGCAGCUGCAUAUCCAUACCCAGCAUUCCCAUAACCAGAAGACCCAUAACUCGGAUAACCAGAGCCUGCUGUAGGGGGUUGCAUAUACCUAUUAGUGUCCAUUCUACCAUCAUAGGAAGUUGCGUUUGAAAUAGAACCACUAUAAGAUUGAUAUGAUCCACCUUUACCACUGCCAGAGUUAGGAUUUGCAUCCUUAGGUAAAGCCUUCUUUACUUCUACAUGUUUCCCAGCUAAUUCAUGGAAUGUUUUAUGAAGUGCCAACUCAACAGCAUCCUCAGUAUCAAAUGUUAUGAAUCCAAAUCCUCGUGGCCUUUGUGUUGUUUGAUCGUACAUUACAACAACAUCAGUAACGGUUCCGUAAUUCUCAAAAUACUGACGGAAAUCAUCUUCAGUUAGAGUUGGGGGUAACCCUCCAACGAAGAUUUUUUUAGUCCUCAUACUGCCACCUGAUCCACCACCAGCAGACCUACCUGGGUACGAUGCUUUUGCGGUUGUAUGCUGCUCCUCUCUCGAUAGAGCCCUCUUUGCUUCAACCUGUUUCAGCAUAAAACGAUGAAGAAAAGAAGCAUACAUAUAGAUAAUUGAAAUCCAGACCUAUAUAAAAAAAAAAAAAUACUUAUUCAAUCCACAAUGAAAUCUCGAUAGAAGUUGAAAACAUAUUUUUUUAAACGAAAAAGUAAGAAGAACUAUUUUUGAAAUCAAAUCGACAGAUCGAGCACAGAAAGUUAGAGAAUCUUACAGUUCGUCCAUCAAUGACAUGCAUGUCUUGGAGUACAUGUUCGAGAAGCGACGGGUCAGCGAAAACAACGAAACCAAACCCCCUCGGCCUACCUGUGAGUUUAUCCUUCAUGAUGACUGUCUGAAGAACCUCUCCGUAUUUCUCGAAAUACUCCUUCAGUCUCUCAUCCGAGGUCUCCCAAGAAAUACCGCCGAUAAAAAGUUUCCCCUGAUCGGAAUCCAUAAUUUUAGGGUUUGGGUUUCUCUUCGGAAAAAAGGAACUAAUAGACCGCCACGCAGAUUGCGCCCAAUUAUAUAAAGAGUAAAAUUUCUUGCCGAUUAUAUUUGAAUGAACGGUCAGAUUUGUUUAAGACAAAAAUUUAAGUUACAUCUCACUAGUGAGUAUUUUCUGUAUUAGUGACUUAGUGAGUAGUUGUCUAGUUGAAUACUGAGUAGUGACUAGACUUUUUAGUCGCUAAUUAAAUACAUCGUCUUUUCGGACGGCAAUGGAUCUUAGUACGAUCCAAACCCGGAUGUUUAGCUCCGGAAAUGCAGCUGAGUCCAGUCUCGCCAUCUUAAUGGUGCGUUCUCCGCUGCAGAUGGUGUCCCCAGAGACCUUAUAAAAGGAGACUCUUGAAACACAUCUAAGAAGAUAUCAAUUCCAUUCAUUUUAGAGUGACAUUCACGGAAGUAUAAACGUCGAUUCUUUCCAGAAGAAUUGACAUAAAGUGCACAACAAGAAAGUCUCUCGCACCGCCGCGAGUACUGGUGUAAUUUUUCGAUCAUCAUCAGUUAGUGUAAUCUGUGGGACCUUGGAUCCACGGGUGUCUAUCUGAAUGGUCGAUUUUCAAAGUUGUCUACCGCAAUAGAUAUUUUGACCACGAAGUUGCAGAAACAAAAUUUUUAAUGAAAUAUUUAAUUAUAGUAAACCUUAAUUAACAAUAUAUAUUAUAUAGAUUUAUAUUAGUUGACUUUAUUUAUAAAUACAUUCAAACUCAUAUAAUAUAAAAAUAAUUAUUAUAAUUAAAUAAAAAUAAGAUUAUUAUAAUUAUUAAUUUAUUAUUAUCAGACAAUCUUUACAUUAAUCAAGUUAAUUAUUUUAACUUGUAUUUAUUUUGAUCUCACAAACUAUUUUGAUUUAUCCCCUUACUUUAUCAUAGGUCUGGCAAUUCGUGUCAACACGACUGACACGAUUAAUUUUUUCGUCGACACGAACACGACUGGUCAAAAAAAUUCAACACCAACACGACUGAAUCCGUGUCGACACGACACGACUAGGGUCGUUAAAAUAUAAUUAAUUUGAAGAGACAUCAUGAGAGAUUGAACCCAUGACCUCUCAUGAUGUGUCAUGUUGUGUCAAUUUACGUUUCGUGUAAUCGUGUCGUGUUUUUAGAGACAAACACUAAACCGACACUAUUAUUAAUCGUGUCAAAACUUUCGACACUAACCCGACAUUAUUAUAAACGUGUCGUAUUCGUGUCGUGUUAAAAUCGUGUCGUGUUUUUUUUACUAAUCGUGUCUGUUAUUGUCACCCUUAUUUUAUCAAGUGAUCUUGUUUUUUAAAGGUUAUUUAACAUGGUGUGAAAGAGACUAAUUGAUCCAUACAAGUUACAAAGAAACCUCCAUGAUAAAAAAAUUUGUAACACUUAUACCUUCUCAACAAAUCUACACUACAAAAUUUUGAAAUUAAUGUUACCCCAAAAUCUAUGCAAGUUCAACACAAAGAUAUGGAAUUCCUUUUGGAAGAAUUUAAUCUCUCUUCUACCAAUACUUGUGGAAGUUGAGAAAAAUUACCUUCCAUGUCACCCACGAAUUCUAUAUAAAGAUGUGCACACCAAGCUCUCAAAACAUCAUUUAUAAAUCCAUUUUGAACAUGUGGAGAAUAUGGAGGGGCAGCAUAGGAACAAGGGAUAGACCGAGACGUAGCGGAAUGAAUGUGGCAGAAAAUUGUGUAUUAUGUGGUAAAGAACUUGAGACAAUAUCGCAUGUUUUUUUCAAAUGCAGAUUCACGAGGUGGAUGCUAAAGGAGGGCUUUGAUGCAGCGGGUGGAUUGGUGAAUACACAAGACAUUAGAGAUUUUGAAGUCAUGGCUCAUGAAAUUGAGAAAAUCACUCCUGGUUCAAAGUGCUGGGAAUUGCUAUUGGACAAUGUUUGGUUUCACAUAUGGAAGGAGCAAAACCAACGUCACCAUGGAGGAAUCUCAACCUCGUAGAAAAUGAUCAUAAGGGAAAGCAUCAGAUCGACGGAAAUCGAUUUCAAGGAAGAAAAAUUCAAAAAGCCACACAAGAGAAACGCGGAAUUGAGGGCAAUGCACCAAUGUGAUGCUCUUCAGUUGGUGAUCCACAACAGGGUGGAAGAAGGAAGUUAAGAUUGAUUAACUGUCGGGCAAACUUGUCUCUUUAUAUAGAAAGUAAGUAUAACUAUAUUUAAAUCAAUUGUUUUUGUGUGUUAAACUUCUGUAAACCUUAAUUUUUCUCUCUCUUAAUAUAUUAAGCAAUUUAUUCAAAAAAAAAUCCAUUUUGAAGCUUUUUUGUUGUCAAAACUCUUGCUUUCCAAGUUCUCUUGUUUCUGCUCUUGCUCUUUACCAAGCAUUGUGAGAGUUAUGCUUAAGAUUGUGUGCUUAAGUUCUUUACUUUUUCUUCUUCCCUUAUUCUACUUGUUAAGAGUGUGUUAAAAAAUCAAGUCACACAUUGUAAGUGUUCCAAGUGUUGUAAGAGACUUGUCUCAAAAUCAACAAUUGUGAGGUUACACAAGUUAAACCACAAAACUCGUUUGAUAGAUGUUUUACAUUGAACUGUAAAUCAUUUUUAACUCCUGUAUCAUUUUAUACAACAGACUUUCGAAAAUAUUAAAUAGUUCUAUCAUGCAUAAACUGCAUAAUUUUUUUCUAUUAAAUGGUUUCAACUUCCAAACAUGAUUGUAGUUUUAUAAAUGUAGAUGUUUGAAUUGAUGUCGUGUAGAUGAACUCUGUUUCGCUUGACUUCAAGCUCAAGUAUUUGUGAUGGACACUUAAAUUUAAGAUCUGAUAGUUUUCUUUAGAUGUAGAACAAAGUUUUCUUUAGAUGAGAUUUAUAGGGCGCUUAGUGAAAGAAAAAGUGCAGUAGAUGUUAUACUCAAGAUGGUUAAAUCUUGCUUCAAAUUUUGAUAAUACAUUAAUAAUCAUUUUUGUUUGUUGAAGUUUGAAACUAAAAAUAGAAAUAGCUGACUAUGGUUUGCCAACAAUGAGUUAUAUUUUGCAUCAUCAUCUGCAAUGGAUCCUUAAAUAAUAUAACAACAACAUCAUCAUCAUCCCUAAUACAUUUCUCAUCAAUACAGUUUCUCUUUACCCCUACCGAUCAUUACAAAUAAAAAUGAAGGUUAUAUGCAUCCGAUACAACCGACCACCUACAAGCUUUAACAUCAUCUUUGAAAUAUUGAAACCAAAAGUGUUUUGGUCACUUAUAGAGACAGACUUCAGUCACGCUAUAGAGCAAAAGAUCUUACAUUAAGGCUUGACAGUCUAUUUGGUUCAAACAUAAUUUCUUAAAAAAGAGGUGGAUCUACGUCAUCAAGCAUCACAUAAGUGAAAUUUCAAAGCACAUUUGUCAAUCUGAGUAUCAUUUCAGUUUAAAUUUACCCAGUGUUAAUAUGUAAUGUCAUAUGACUUUGGUGUAUUGCCUUGAGCUAUAAAUCCUUGUAGUAUUCCAAUCCUUGUAGAAAGGUACUCUCUAUUAUCAAAAAAAUGUCAAUGUAUUUCUAAAUAAAUUGGAAGUCGAUGGUACCAUUUCAUCUAUGGGCCUUUGAUGUAUUUUCUUUUCAUCCUUGAAGACUUGAUUUAUUCCCGAGGUUUAUUACUUUUCAUCCUUUGAAUGAUUUUUAAAGGGCAUGCAAGUUUCAAAUUUCAACAUUACCACCAAAUAUAUUGCUCCCCACUUCAAAGAAAAAUAGCUGACUGGGUUUGUGACUUUGUGGGCAAAUAAGCACAACACCAAUAAAGAAUGCCUUUUACAACUGUUAGAUAACAAUCAUCAACGAAACCUCAAAUUGAUGAAUCCAGGCAGCAUUCCCUGUGCAAAAGAGAAAAUACAGCAGGAAACGAGUAUUAUUCAUCAAUAGCAAUUGAUAAAUAUCUUUACUAUUAUGACUGCCAUUAUCUCUAGUCACCUGCUAUAGUAUUAUUCGCCUACUCAACUACAAAAAGAAGUAUCCAUCUCUAAUCCAUCUUUAUCAAAAGUACCCAAAGAAGAUACUCCCACAGUGCAUCAAACCAAAUAACCAUCGGUGCACUCUGUAUUAUCUCUACUUUUUAUAUAACCAAAAAAGUUAUCAGACUGAAUGCAGUUUACUCCACUUGAGUUAUAACUACAGCUCUACAACAAUAACUUAAUUUGUUAAAAUCAUGUCUACAUAGUGCAGAAAAUUCCAAGUUAAACCAACAACAUGUCUUGAUGAAACAGACCAAAUGCUACGGCCAGGAAACUUAUCAUGAUGUUUCUAGCAGAAACAAAUUCUAACACAGACAAUGUGAAAAAUGACAUAGCAUAGCAUAGAUAAUAUAAGAAACAAGGACACGAGAUACACUACAGACUAAAAAAUGCACAAUGCAAAAUGCAAGAUAUAAAUACCAGGUGGUCUAACAUUUAUCGCAGGUAAUAUUACUAAAUAAUAGGAAAAACCAUCUAAUAAUAGAUUUAAAGCAUUCCAACCAGUUGAUAGAUACACAUCUGCUUUGCAAGAGCACAGAUGCAUAACCUCCACGUAGCUGUUGCUAAAGAUAAUGAAUCAAAGAUGCUAUGGAAAUCGGCAGUUCUGUAAAGUCGAGGUAAAUCAUAUUGGAAUCAUUGUUGUUGUGGUUGCCUUGUUUGAGGACCACGAUACCCACCAUAACUUCCAGCACUAGGAGGCACAUUGACCUGUGUGGCUCCAUACGAUCUACCCUGUUAAGGAUCUUUCCAAGAACUAGCUAG
RNAcentral lists this long non-coding RNA (6353 nucleotides) under Zostera marina. RNAcentral's name for it is "long non-coding RNA (ZMAR_LNC000081)". Lineage: Eukaryota; Viridiplantae; Streptophyta; Magnoliopsida; Alismatales; Zosteraceae. The record is from RNAcentral.